GUUUUGAUUUAUACAGUGAAAYUGCGAAUGGCUCAUUAAAUCAGUUAUCUGUUUAUAUUGAUAGUUCCUUUAUCUACUKGRUAUAACUGUGGUAUAUUCUAGAUGACAUAAUACGAUGCUUAAAAUCUCUACCCUUUGGAAUAGAUGUAUUUAUUGAUAUAAAAAAUCAAUGUGCUUCRGACUCUUUGAUGAUUCAUAAUAACUGUUUCGAAUACAGCAUGUGUCACAUUGUGCGUAGGCAAUGGUUCAUUYAUACAUGUAUCUGCCCUAUCAACUUUCGAUGGUWGGAUCAUAUCGGCCUACCUAUGAGCUUUCAACGAGGAUAACUGURGGAAUACAUGGGUUCUCGAUUACCGGACAGGGAAGACACUGACAAMYAGCUACCACAGUCCAGACGAGAAGGCAGCAUGAGCAUCACAAAUUAUCCCAUACCUAAUAUCGAUGAGGUAGAGUAGUAGACAAUAAAUAAYUAUACUAUGAGGCCCAUUCARKUCUUGURAUUGCAAAGAAUACAAUGUAAAUACCUUAACUAGGAACGA
This 539-nucleotide ribosomal RNA is filed under the name uncultured eukaryote. Its description in RNAcentral is "partial 18S ribosomal RNA". It matches the Rfam family "Eukaryotic small subunit ribosomal RNA", at positions 63 to 549 of the family's 1831-position model. The record is from RNAcentral.